Non-coding RNA from Theobroma cacao (cacao), 683 nucleotides. NCBI's taxonomy places the organism in Eukaryota, Viridiplantae, Streptophyta, Magnoliopsida, Malvales, Malvaceae. The record is from RefSeq and is a predicted model, not a curated record.
AGUUGUCUCCAUUUACUCGACUUUAGAUAUUUUAGAUGAUGUUUGUUUACUCACUGAGUUUAUAUAAACUCACCACCUUCCUUUCCACUCAUUCUAAGAUCAGGACAGUCCGUAAUAUAGCUAAUUACGUCAAGGGUUAUUAUUGGACUCGCCUCCUCAAAAAUUGUAAUGAAUGUCUAUCGGGACAUCGUGACGGUUGUCAUGGGCUCGAGGAAAGUACCUGGUCGUGACAGAAUACAUCCAACACUUUAGAGAAAGGGUGUUAGAUAUACAAUAGUGUCAUGAAAAGAAGGAGUUGGUGAAGGUUUGCAUUCAAGAAAUGUUUAAUGAGUAUACGCUAUACUUGGAGAAUUUUACCUCUCCUAACUUUUGCUACCUCGGUGGAAGCAGCAUGAAGAACCAAUAAUAUGGUUCUCAAACAAAAGGGAGCUACUAGUUUCAAUAGAAGGAAUAAUCCAAUAGUGAAUACAAUUCAAGAAGAAGGUAAAAAAAGAAAAGGUCUUUUCAGAAAGGAAUAUUCCAGAAGAAGAUGUAAGCAAGAGAGUUAUUGAUUACGAAUUAUAAGGUCCAGAACAACCCACUUAUUGCUCAUGUAUGAUACUUAUAUGACUUUGACUCUCCAAUACUUUAUGUAUUGAAAUUUGAUAUUUGGAAAGAAAAAGAAAAUUCAUAUUUAGCCUCUA